RNAcentral lists this ribosomal RNA (397 nucleotides) under uncultured bacterium. RNAcentral's name for it is "partial 16S ribosomal RNA". It matches the Rfam family "Bacterial small subunit ribosomal RNA", at positions 338 to 733 of the family's 1533-position model. The record is from RNAcentral.
CCUACGGGAGGCAGCAGUGAGGAAUAUUGGUCAAUGGUCGCGAGACUGAACCAGCCAAGCCGCGUGAGGGAUGAAGGUCCAGAGUAUUGUAAACCUCUUUUGUCAGGGAACAAAGGCGGGGACGUGUCCCCGGAUGAGUGUACCUGAAGAAAAAGCAUCGGCUAACUCCGUGCCAGCAGCCGCGGUAAUACGGAGGAUGCGAGCGUUAUCCGGAUUUAUUGGGUUUAAAGGGUGCGUAGGGGGUAUGUUAAGUCAGUGGUAAAAGUCCGGGGCUCAACCCCGGCCCGCCGUUGAAACUGGCAGUCUUGAGUAGGAGAGAAGUAGGCGGAAUGCGCGGUGUAGCGGUGAAAUGCAUAGAUAUCGCGCAGAACUCCGAUUGCGAAGGCAGCAUACCGGC